UGCGCAGGCGGAAUGAUAAGUCAGUGGUGAAAUCUCCCGGCUCAACCGGGAAACUGCCAUUGAAACUGUCGUUCUUGAGUACAGUUGAAGUGGGCGGAAUGUGUCAUGUAGCGGUGAAAUGCAUAGAUAUGACACAGAACACCGAUAGCGAAGGCAGCUCACUAAACUGUAACUGACGCUCAGGCACGAAAGCGUGGGGAGCAAACAGGAUUAGAUACCCUGGUAGUCC
This 229-nucleotide ribosomal RNA is filed under the name uncultured bacterium. Its description in RNAcentral is "partial 16S ribosomal RNA". It matches the Rfam family "Bacterial small subunit ribosomal RNA", at positions 568 to 796 of the family's 1533-position model. The record is from RNAcentral.